This 373-nucleotide ribosomal RNA is filed under the name uncultured organism. RNAcentral describes it as "partial 16S ribosomal RNA". It matches the Rfam family "Bacterial small subunit ribosomal RNA", at positions 527 to 896 of the family's 1533-position model. The record is from RNAcentral.
GUAGGUGGCAAGCGUUGUCCGGAAUUAUUGGGCGUAAAGCGCGCGCAGGCGGUUCGUUUAAGUCUGAUGUGAAAGCCCACGGCUCAACCGUGGAGGGUCAUUGGAAACUGGAGAACUUGAGUACAGAAGAGGAAAGCGGAAUUCCACGUGUAGCGGUGAAAUGCGUAGAGAUGUGGAGGAACACCAGUGGCGAAGGCGGCUUUCUGGUCUGUAACUGACGCUGAGGCGCGAAAGCGUGGGGAGCAAACAGGAUUAGAUACCCUGGUAGUCCACGCCGUAAACGAUGAGUGCUAAGUGUUAGGGGGGUUUCCGCCCCUUAGUGCUGCAGCUAACGCAUUAAGCACUCCGCCUGGGGAGUACGGCCGCAAGGCUG